This is a long non-coding RNA of Raphanus sativus (radish), 1236 nucleotides long. RefSeq lists it as uncharacterized. The record is from RefSeq and is a predicted model, not a curated record. NCBI's taxonomy places the organism in Eukaryota, Viridiplantae, Streptophyta, Magnoliopsida, Brassicales, Brassicaceae. The transcript is spliced from 3 exons.
CCAACCAAGAAGCCAAGAUCUUCUUCACCGUAGCGAUAUCUAAAACAAGGGUUUAUCAUCUUCUUCGGCUUUGACAACCUAAGCCAUUAAUAGAGUUUCAUGAGGUUGAGUGAGAUGAAUCGUCAUGAAGAAUUUAUGGUCCAGUUCGACUGCGUCGUUCCAUCUUAUGACCCUCUCCUCUAGAACGUUACGUGAUUCAUUGAAUCAUUGCCUUUAACAGCCUUCUCAACUCAGCAAGAUAAAACAUUCAAUGCUUCUUAUAUCCCUUCUAGGAGGUGGAUCUCCAUCUAUAAAAAGUUUAAUGCUUCUUAUUCUCAUUCUCACAUUCAUCGAGAAGAAUAAGAUGCCCAUUAAAGAUACUUCGAUCAAUUCGUCUUGCUUUUGGAAGGUCCGAAUGUGAAGAGGAGGUGCGCUCAAGGGUGUUAAGCUCACCAAUGUUUGACAAGAAGACAUUGAAGAAGAAUCGUAUAGAAUUGGAUUUCAGAAUUGCAGAACACAGAAAAAGGUUUUCAACUCUUUACAUUCUCUUUUCCUCGCUUUGUCUCUUACUCCAAAAAAACAAGAAAGUGUCCUUCGUUUUGCUUCUCUCUUGCAGGCACAACACGAGAGAGAGCUGAUAGUUGUGGACUAUAGAAGAUAAUGAUAGGAUUUGUUGCAAAAACAUUGCCAUAGAGAUUAGAGAAUCUCUCAAACACACCAUUUGCCCCACCUGUUGUGAUACUCCUGUUCAUGAAGACUCUUACUUUGAUGAUACUUUAUGAAACCUCUUUCAUACAUUGCGAUUGAUCUUACAGAUUAAACAUCCACUAACGUCUUUUUCUUUGGCAGCUCGAGAGGGCUUCAAGCAUUGCCGCCAAAUCAUGGGAGGCCACUUUCUCAUCUCCACCACUACUAAACCAGAUGCACAUUUCUCCAUUAGAGUUACUCCACAGUGGUCCUUUGCUUGAUUUUAAUCUUCUACCAGUCAAAGCUGCAGAGCUAUUUCCUUCGGUCGUUGCAGAAUCUAAAGCUCUUGAAGUAGUUUCAUCUAGAUUGCGUGGAAAUCACGGAAAUGACUUACAUUUGACAACAACAUGAUCUGAAGGCGGUGGAGUGAUUCCAGAAGAUCAGAGACGUGACCGUUUCUGUUUUGUGUUUUGGAAUCAAUAAGAUUUAAUUCUGUUAAGCCUCUGUGGAAAUAAAAAGAUUAGCUCUGUUUUGCUACACGCACCAAAUGCUACUUUCAAUUAUUAUACG